UAUAGCUCAGUCAGUAGAGCAUGAGACUCUUAAUCUCAGGGUCAUCCAUGGGUUCAAGCCUCACACUGGGCAAAA
Podarcis lilfordi (Lilford's wall lizard) is the source of this 75-nucleotide non-coding RNA. NCBI's taxonomy places the organism in Eukaryota, Metazoa, Chordata, Lepidosauria, Squamata, Lacertidae. The record is from the annotation of a GenBank genome assembly.